GAUGAAGAACGUAGCGAAAUGCGAUACUUGGUGUGAAUUGCAGAAUCCCGUGAACCAUCGAGUCUUUGAACGCAAGUUGCGCCCGAAGCCAUUAGGCCGAGGGCACGCCUGCCUGGGCGUCACACGUCGUUGCCCCCCCAUCUACUCCUUCGGGAUUGCGGGGGGCGGAUGAUGGCCUCUCGUGCGCCUCGUCGCGCGGUUGGCCUAAAUGCCAAGUCCUCGGCGACGCACGCCACGACAAUCGGUGGUUGCGAAACCUCGGUUGCCUGUCGUGUGCGGUCGUCGCGCAUCGAGGGCUCGAAAAAUUGCCGGGCUUCGGCUCGACUUUCAACGCGACCCCAGGUCAGGCGGGGUUACCCGCUGAAUUUAAGCAUAUCAAUAAGCGGAGGA
RNAcentral lists this unclassified non-coding RNA (390 nucleotides) under soil metagenome. Its description in RNAcentral is "partial contains 5.8S ribosomal RNA, internal transcribed spacer 2, and large subunit ribosomal RNA". The stretch from base 1 to 122 matches the Rfam family "5.8S ribosomal RNA", at positions 35 to 154 of the family's 154-position model. The record is from RNAcentral.